AGUGCUUGGAAGAGAAUCAUCCUUCGUGAAGCAUUCGAAGGAGGUGGUCAUCCUUUGUGAAGAUUCAAAGGAGGUGUAAGUUCAUCUCUUGUGGUUUCAAGAGAGGUGAUAUUUCUAAACUCUUACAAAUUGUUUUUCUCUGUGAUUAAUAUUUGUAAUUGUUUUGUGAUAGUGAAAAAGGUUUAUCUUGUUUGAGAUAAGCGACUGGACGUAGGAUCUGUGUGAUCUGAACCAGGAUAAAAUCACCUGUGCAAUUUGUCUCUUUCCCUUACUCUCUUAUUUAUAUUUAAUUAUCUGCUCAGUAAGAAAAAUUAAGAGAAAAAUAAUAAAAGGCACGAUAAAAGUAUAUAACCAAUUCACCCCCCCCUCCUCUUGGUUUGUUCCACGCUAAUAAUUCUGUUGCAGCGAUUCUAACAAUUGGUAUCAGAGCUCGUUGUGAUAGUCAUUCAAAUGGCAGAAUCAUAUCAAACUGUUGCAGAGAGUGCCUUUAUCAAUAGACCAUCGUUGUUCAUAGGUGAAAAUUAUGCAUUCUGGAAGGUUAAAAUGCAAAUAUUUAUUAGGUCUAUUGAUUGUGAGAUUGUGGAUGUUAUUGCAUUUGGUUUGUCUGUUCCUACUAACAAUUUGCAGGAACCAAAGCCUCGUAUUCAUUGGACUGCUAAAGAGAAGAAAAGAUUUCAAAAUGAUGUGAAAGCCCGAAACAUCAUUUCAUCUGCUUUAACCGUUGACGAGUUUUACAGGAUCUCAGUUUGUAAGACNGCUCAAGAGAUGUGGNAAGUGCUGAGAGUGACCCACGAAGGUACAGAUGACGUGAAGAGAGCGAGAAAGAAUACCCUAAUCCAAGAAUAUGAAAUGUUCAGGAUGAAGCAAGGAGAAACAAUAUCAGAUGUUCAAAAACGCUUCACCAAUAUCGUAAAUCACCUCAUUGGACUAGGUAAGUCUUUCGAGAAUGAUGAACUUAAUAUAAAAAUUUUGAAAUCUUCAGACAGGUCAUGGCAACCACAAGUGACUGCAAUUUCUGAGUCACAAAAUCUCAACACAAUGACUAUGGCGGCAUUAUUUGGAAAGUUGAGAGAGCAUGAACUUGACCUUGGAAGACUGGAUGAAGAAGAAGCAAUGGCAAAAACAAAGAAAAAGAGUCUAGCCUUAAAAUCUGAGGUAGAAAGGAGCAAAAGCAAAAUAGAAGAUGAAAACUCAGAAGAUGAAGAAAAUUUGAGACUCAUGAUAAAAAGGCUCAACAAGUUCAUGAAAUCAAAAGACAAAGGAAGAUUCAAAGUCGAAAAGAAAGAAAACCAAGAAUCCUCCUUAAAAUAUAGAUGUUAUGGUUGUGGAGAAAGGGGGCACUUAAAAGCGGACUGUCCAAAUCAAAAGAAGAAUGAAGAAAUAAAGGAAAAGAAAUCCUUCAAGAAAAAGAAGGCUUGCAUCGCAUGGGACGAUGACAAUGAAACAAUUUCUUAUUCGAGCGAAUCUGAUGAAGAGGCAAACAUCUGUUUAGUGGCAGACGAUGACGCUGGAAGCCAAGUAAGUACAUCUAGCAAUUAUGAUAAUUAUAGUCAAUUUAGUGAAAGUGAUUGCAUGAAACUUAUGUUGCUUUACUUGUUGAAUCUGAAAAAUUAGAUAAAGCCCAUAAGAAAUUGAAAAAGGAUUUCAAAAAUUUAAAAUUAAAUUUUGAAAAUAUUUCAGAAAAAAAUAAAAUUUAAAAUCAGAUUUUGAAAAUAUUUCUCAGGAAAAUAAAAGUUUAAAAUCAAAUUUUGAAACUAUACUUGAAGAGAAUAAAAAUUUGAAAAAUAAAAUUUUAUUUUAUGAAAAAGGUAAAUUUACUAGUAGUGAUGAAUGUGCAUCUUGCGAAAAUUUUAAGAAAAUGCUAGAACAAACAACCUUAGAAGAAUGCAGUAAAAUUAAUGAAAAUAAGGUUGUUAAAAAUAAGUAUGUUCCUAAAAUUAAAAAUAAACAUAAUAAUAAAACCUGUAGAACAUGGGUAGAAAAAGGAACAACUUAUAGGAACACAAACUUUAUAUCAUGUUUUUAUUGUAUGAAAAAAGGUCAUACCUCAAAUAAAUGUAAAAUUAAGCAUUUUGGUGUUCCAAGUAGUAGAUAUGUUUGGGUUGUAAAAUGAUUUCAUUUUUUUUAAACCAAAGGACAAUGUUUAUUUAUUUAUUUUAAAUUAUUUUAAUUUUAGAAAAACAAAAUUUGAGAAAAUUUUAUUCCAAGCAUGUUGUCUUUGAUAAAAUUAUGGACCUUGAGGUAAAACCUCUUGAGUCAAUUGAAUCAGAUGCAGGUAAUAAUGAAGACUUGCAGAAGACAACAAAAAAAAAAAGAAUGAUGACAAUCCCUAAGACAAAGAUCUCAACAAAAUAUCAUUACACAACGAAUUUGGAGAUAUAUCAAAAUGGGUAAACAUUAGAAGAGAUCUAUGANUUUUAAAGAUCUCUUAUGAUUGAAUUUUUUUUCAUUUUGUGCCUUUUUGUGCAUUUUUGAAAAUUUAGCCAUAUUUUUGUAUGCUUUAAAAUUCCUAUAUUAUAUGGUUCAAUGUAUGAUUUUUUAUAAAAAAAAAAUCCUUAUCCUAAAAUUAUAUGUUUUAAAUCUCCUAUUCUGUAUGAUUGAAUAAAUAUUUAAAUUUGAAAUAUAUUGGACUCAUAUGCAUACAUGCUUUUAUUAAGGGGGAGUAUUAUCUUAGGGGGAGAACAUGAAACACAACUUUUUAAUUAUGAUCAAAAAGGGGGAGAAAAUAUCUUAAAGCUUAUUGUUAUUCACUAAUGCCCUUGUCUUCCAUGAGUUGUGUUUUUACUCAGAUUAUUACCAAAAACUUUAAUUCAAAGGAGUUUUUGAUCAUCAUCAAAAAGAGGGAAAAUGUUAGCAAAAUGAUGAAGAUGAAGUUUUGAUGAUGCCCAAAUCAAGUCAAAAUUUAUCAAGAUUCAUGAAGAUCCUUUGAAGACUUAUUUUUGUUAUGAAAAGCUUUUGUAAUAAUUAUAGUUUAAUUGUUUAGGACUUAGAUUUGUAGUAGGUUUUGAUUCUUGUAUCUUUAUAUUUUGUAUUUGUUGUUUAGAAUCAAAACUUCCUCGUUUUAAUCAAUUAAUUUUUGAUAUAAUCGAUUAAAAUCGCUGCAGAAGCCAAAACCCAAUCAGCUUUGGAAUAAUCGAUUAAAGCAAGUUUUAAUCGAUUAAUCCUGAGAAUAAUCGAUUAAUACUAGCCGUUGGAGGUUUCUGAUUUGAAAAACUAGUCGUUGUACUUAUUUUAAUCGAUUAACACUAAUAUUAAUCGAUUAAAUGCAUUAAACGGCCAGUUUCGUAGAAUGGAAGAGUAUUUGCUUGAGUCUGUAUAUAGGCUCUCUUUAUCCAUCAACAAUAACUCUUCCCUUGUGCUAAGAACCUCUGAACUCUUUGAGAACUCUGUGAGAUUGUUGAAGCUAAGGAAACUCUUGUCUGCAAAGCUUUGAAGUGCUACUGCGGUGACAGAGGAAUAGCUUAUUCAUCCUUGGUGUGUCCGAGGAAGUGCCUGGAAGAGAAUCAUCCUUCGUGAAGCAUUCGAAGGAGGUGGUCAUCCUUUGUGAAGAUUCAAAGGAGGUGUAAGUUCAUCUCGUGUGGUUUCAAGAGAGGUGGCAUUUCUAAACUCUUACAAAUUGUUUUUCUCUGUGAUUAAUAUUUGUAAUUGUUUUGUCAUAGUGAAAAAGGUUUAUCUUGUUUGAGAUAAGCGACUGGACGUAGGAUCCGUGUGAUCUGAACCAGGAUAAAAUCACCUGUGCAAUUUGUCUCUUUCCCUUACUCUCUUAUUUGUAUUUAAUUAUCU
Molecule: long non-coding RNA, 3783 nt
Filed under: Vigna radiata
Lineage: Eukaryota; Viridiplantae; Streptophyta; Magnoliopsida; Fabales; Fabaceae
Description: long non-coding RNA (VRAD_LNC005579)
Source: RNAcentral